Molecule: long non-coding RNA, 667 nt
Filed under: Triticum aestivum (bread wheat)
Lineage: Eukaryota; Viridiplantae; Streptophyta; Magnoliopsida; Poales; Poaceae
Description: long non-coding RNA (TAES_LNC005484)
Source: RNAcentral
UCCAUGUGCGAGAAGAACGGUCAACCCCUCCGCCGAUGCCAGUCAUUGCUCCGGCGGACACGGUGAGUUUCAUUUGAAUGGACAUUACUUAUUAGUCUUCACAUUUGAGUUGCAUCAUGCUAACGAGACAUUGCAAAUGAUCUUUAGUUUGGUGCAGCAUAACUCCCGACAAGCAUCGACGUCUGCCAUUGGCGCGAGCAAGAACCCCGAUCCUUCACCUACGGGUUGACGGUAAGUUUUGCCUUGUGCUUUGCUUAAUUAGCUCCAAAAUGACCUAUUUAACCUAGGAUAGCUCUAAAAUGACCUAUACUUAGCAUUUUUCCUCCAAAAUGACUUAAUAUGCUUAGCUAGCUCAAAAUUGACCUAUUUAACCUAGGAUAGCUCUAAAAUGACCUAUACUUAGCAUUUUUUCCUCCAAAUGACCUAUUUUACAGAUAUAAGUUGCAUCAUAAUAAUCUUCACAUUUUAGUUGCAUCAUAAUAAUCUUCUUCUUCUAGUCUUCUUCUUCUAAACUUUCUUCUUUCCCAUUUGGUAGAUUUGCUUCAGAUCACAGAAGCUUGGGUUGAUGGAGUGCUUGUCUUUAGUUUUUGUUUUGACUUUGUGAAACUUGCUACCUAUGAUGAAACUGUGUAAUAUUGAUGAAACUAUGUAUAUGUAUGGAUGAAAC